Molecule: long non-coding RNA, 1340 nt
Organism: Neofelis nebulosa (Clouded leopard)
Lineage: Eukaryota; Metazoa; Chordata; Mammalia; Carnivora; Felidae
Exons: 2
Source: RefSeq, a predicted model, not a curated record
AUGACGGGUUAGGAACUUAGUUGUUAAUUCUCUUCAGAGCCACACUGUUCUCUGGUAACUCACUCUUUCUCCCUCUGGUUUCAAAGCUUGGCACUACGUAUGUAAGACCAAGCAGAAAAUGAUCUAAAGGCCAAAUGGCAAUUUAUGACAUUAACUCAUUAACUCUCCUACUUGCGGAAAGGCUCAGGAUGAAUUCAGUACCAAAAAAAGGAAAAAAAGUCAAGCUACAUUUGAUUCCUGGGAGUAUGAGUCAGAGCACAAAUACUUGGGCCCUGCUUCGCGUUAGGCGCCCUUCUCGACUCUGAGGACACAGGAAACAAACGAGUGAGACUCGCUGCCCUUAUGAAGAGUUCGUUCUAGCGGGGAGGACGUCCGGUGUACAAAUAAACACGAUGGCAGCAAGUGCAUCGGCUACAUUUCACCUUAUUUUGAGCUGUGCUAUCGAGGCUCCCAAACCCAUGGGAUCACGACGUAUGGUUGAGACUGCCGGCUGUUUACCAAGAUCCAUUUCCUGCUGCUGUGGGGCACAGACUUUUCUGGUCACCAUUACAGUCUGGCGCGGCCACAUGGUCAUAAAUGAGUAACUCUUUACUGUCAUCUAAUAUCCACCGGGCGUUCGCCUUUCCUGGACUGUCUCAUAAACGCCUUUUACUGUUGGCUUUUUAAAAUAAAUUUUGUUAAUUUGUUUUGAGACACAGAGGGAGGGAGAGAGAACAAGUGGGGGAGGGGCAGAGAGAGGGAGAGAGAGAGUCCCAAGCAGGCUCUGCGCUGUCAGUGCAGAGCCUGACGUAGGACUUGAACUCACGAACCGUGAGAGCAGGACCGGAGCCAAAAUCAAGAGUCAGAUGCUUAACCAACGGAGCCACCCAGGCACCCCUACUGUUGGCGUCUUUCAAUCCGGAUCUGAACAAAGUCUACCCGUGGCAUCUGGACGACAUGUCUUUAAGACAGUGUUAAUCUAGAAUCAUUCCAGCUCCCUCUUUUGUUUCUUUGCUGGAUGUAAGGAAAUUGUUAAAUGACCUGCUAAGCGUGAUGGCUUCUGUCUAGCAUCAGCCGAUGCCUAAAGGUAAAAUAUACACUCAUGGCAAGACCCUCUGCUUGUGCUGUUGGCCGUCCGUUCACGUUUCAAUCUUGAUAAGUGUGAAUUUUCGGCAGAUCUGAUCAGAUUGCUUUUGUUUUCCUCCGGGCUGUGGUUGUUCCAAAGCUCAGACUAGCGUUGCUCUUUUCUUGCCGUUCGUUCACUGGGCUUACGUCAUCGGCCUUUAGUUCUUCAUUUCUUUGCAUUAACCUUUUAAAACUACCUGUUCGGCUUUUGAGAGUUAACAUUUUAUGUCUUUUUA